CCUACGGGAGGCAGCAGUGAGGAAUAUUGGUCAAUGGGCGUAAGCCUGAACCAGCCAAGUCGCGUGAGGGAUGAAGGUUCUAUGGAUCGUAAACCUCUUUUAUAAGGGAAUAAAGUGCGGGACGUGUCCCGCUUUGUAUGUACCUUAUGAAUAAGGCUCGGCUAACUCCGUGCCAGCAGCCGCGGUCAUACGGGGGAAUCGAGCGUUAACCGGAUUUAUUGGGUUUAAAGGGUGCGUGGGCGGCCUUUUAAGUCAGCGGUGAAAGUCUGUGGCUCAACCAUAGAAUUGCCGUUGAAACUGGGGCGCUUGAGUGUGAUAGAAGCAGGCGGAAGGCGUGGUGUAGCGGUGAAAUGCAUAGAUAUCACGCAGAACCCCGAUUGCGAAGGCAGCCUGCCAGGUCAUGACUGACGCUGAUGCACGAAAGCGUGGGGAUCAAACAGGAUUAGAUACCCUGGUAGUC
Molecule: ribosomal RNA, 460 nt
Filed under: uncultured bacterium
Lineage: Bacteria
Description: partial 16S ribosomal RNA
Rfam family: Bacterial small subunit ribosomal RNA
Source: RNAcentral